Molecule: ribosomal RNA, 246 nt
Filed under: uncultured bacterium
Lineage: Bacteria
Description: partial 16S ribosomal RNA
Rfam family: Bacterial small subunit ribosomal RNA
Source: RNAcentral
AGAUGGCGACCGGCGCACGGUGAGUAACACGUAUCCAACCUGCCGAUAACUCGGGGAUAGCCUUUCGAAAGAAAGAUUAAUACCCGAUGGUAUAACCAGACCGCAUGGUUUGAUUAUUAAAGAAUUUCGGUUAUCGAUGGGGAUGCGUUCCAUUAGGCAGUUGGUGAGGUAACGGCUCACCAAACCUUCGAUGGAUAGGGGUUCUGAGAGGAAGGUCCCCCACAUUGGAACUGAGACACGGUCCAA